UAAGGAGCUCUAGAUAACCGUU
RNAcentral lists this microRNA (22 nucleotides) under Helianthus annuus (common sunflower). The record is from RNAcentral. Lineage: Eukaryota; Viridiplantae; Streptophyta; Magnoliopsida; Asterales; Asteraceae.